CCUACCCAUAGGUUGGGGACAACUCCGGGAAACCGGAGCUAAUACCGAAUAAUAUUUCAAGAACGCAUGUUUUUGAAAUCAAAGGAGGCCUCUCUAUAGAAGCUUCUGCCCAUGGAUGGAUCCGCGUCUGAUUAGCUAGUUGGUGGGGUAAUGGCCUACCAAGGCGACGAUCAGUAGCCGGCCUGGGAGGGUGAACGGCCACACUGGGACUGAGACACGGCCCAGACUCCUACGGGAGGCAGCAGUGGGGAAUCUUCCGCAAUGGGCGAAAGCCUGACGGAGCAAUGCCGCGUGAAUGAAGAAGGCCUUCGGGUUGUAAAGUUCUGUUGAGAAGGAAGAAAGAUCUAAGAGCUAAUACCUCUUAAGUUUGACGGUACUUUUCGAGGAAGCCCCGGCUAACUACGUGCCAGCAGCCGCGGUAAUACGUAGGGGGCAAGCGUUGUCCGGAAUCACUGGGCGUAAAGCGCAUGUAGGCGGGAUAUUAAGUCAGGUGUGAAAACUACAGGCUCAACCUGUAAAUUGCAUUUGAAAUUGGUAUUCUUGAGUAUUGGAGAGGAAAGUGGAAUUCCUAGUGUAGCGGUGAAAUGCGUAGAUAUUAGGAGGAACACCAGUGGCGAAGGCGACUUUCUG
Molecule: ribosomal RNA, 630 nt
Filed under: uncultured bacterium
Lineage: Bacteria
Description: bacterial SSU rRNA
Rfam family: Bacterial small subunit ribosomal RNA
Source: RNAcentral